RNAcentral lists this long non-coding RNA (644 nucleotides) under Dermacentor andersoni. RNAcentral describes it as "uncharacterized LOC126521753". The record is from RNAcentral. Lineage: Eukaryota; Metazoa; Arthropoda; Arachnida; Ixodida; Ixodidae.
GCCCAUGAGUCAGGUUAUCCAAUGUACUGUUCCCCGUUUGCCAUCCUCCCAACGACCCCACAUCGGGAGAUGGCCUAGAGCACCGCUCGUACUCUGGCCGACCGUGUUUGUCAAAUUACAUUCCCUCACCCAUGGCGUCCUGCUGGCAGUCCGAACCUUGCUCCUCGCCCACCACUGUACUGAUGACCGUUUUCGAUGGCGGUGAGCGAGGAGGACGUCCGAGGCAGUCUUGUCAAAAGAUCAGAUACUUUUGAGCAACAAUCCGUCCAUGGCUGUGCACGUUUGCACAUCGGCCGGCAACUGGACAUGACCAAGUCUCAGCGUGGCCACUAACCCCAGGACCUGCGGGGGAACCCCUCGUCAUGGCGAGCGUCGUCUCUACGAGCUUCGCAUCGAGCGUCCUAAACGCUCACCAGGUGCACUUUGUGCGUUUUUUCUAGAUGGUCUAGCUGGCGAGGGUGGCGCACGCCUUAGACAAGUUAACUGUUUGUUCAGUUGCACUAGCUAGCGCUCACUAGGGUGCAUAGCUACACUACAAAAUUGCUUAGCUGUAAGCCCGAGGUUUCGUGGGCAUGGCUUGCGGCCACACGGGUCUUCUCCGUGCCGGAAUCGAAGAGGACGGGCCACGUGUUGCGGGGUGGCGG